RNAcentral lists this ribosomal RNA (497 nucleotides) under uncultured bacterium. Its description in RNAcentral is "partial 16S ribosomal RNA". It matches the Rfam family "Bacterial small subunit ribosomal RNA", at positions 28 to 507 of the family's 1533-position model. The record is from RNAcentral.
GACGAACGCUGGCGGCGUGCCUAAUACAUGCCAGUUGAGCGCUGAAGGUUGGUACUUGUACCAACUGGAUGAGCAGCGAACGGGUGAGUAACGCGUGGGGAAUCUGCCUUUGAGCGGGGGACAACAUUUGGAAACGAAUGCUAAUACCGCAUAAAAACUUUAAACACAAGUUUUAAGUUUGAAAGAUGCAAUUGCAUCACUCAAAGAUGAUCCCGCGUUGUAUUAGCUAGUUGGUGAGGUAAAGGCUCACCAAGGCGAUGAUACAUAGUCGACCUGAGAGGGUGAUCGGCCACAUUGGGACUGAGACACGGCCCAAACUCCUACGGGAGGCAGCAGUAGGGAAUCUUCGGCAAUGGACGAAAGUCUGACCGAGCAACGCCGCGUGAGUGAAGAAGGUUGCCGGAUCGUAAAACUCUGUUGGUAGAGAAGAACGUUGGUGAGAGUGGAAAGCUCAUCAAGUGACGGUAACUACCCAGAAAGGGACGGCUAACUACGUG